CUACUCAUGAUUACAAAAACAAAUAACAUUAUAUAUAAUACAACCAUUGAGAGUAACAUGAAAAAUAAAAGUUAAGGAAAAACAAAACAAAUAUUUGCAGUCUUGCUCUCCAAGUUUCAACCUCCACUUCUAGCUUCUUGAAUCUCCAAAAGUUGUCUAACCAAUGCCUCUUAAAAAUAUCCUAUUUAUACUAACAAACUUAACCUAUAAUUCCCUAAGUUGACCUAUGAUUUAAUUGGGCUUAAAAAUGUAAUGAAAGGCCUAAACAUCAAUUGUCAAUCUUUAAAAUUGUCAUUCCCGCCACAGUGCGCCUAGCCAUUUUUGAUGUGAUUUUCUCCAUCUUCAAAGUAGAAUUGGGUAAAGUGAUCACAUAAAUUUUUUAGCUUUGUCUCUUAGCUUUCCAAUGGUCUAAGAAUUGUAGCAUUUGGAGUUCUGUACCACGAGUUAUAGUCAAAAUACUAAAGCAUAUGCAAACAGACUUCUAGGUCUUUCAACACCUUACUUUCCAAAAUUAAGCCCAAUUCCCUUAAAUCCUACAAAAACAUAAAAACUAAUAAAUAUUAACCAAAUUAAAAGAAAUAAACAUAAAAUUAAAAUAACUCAGUUAGAAAUAAACUAAUUAUCAAAACAACUAAAAAUAACUAAAUUAUAAUUAAAAAAUAAGGACUUAACUAAUAUUUAAUAACAAAACUGGACUAAAAUAAUUCUAUAAAAUAGAAUUAUCACAAAACAAGAUGUUUUUUAGUAUAGUAUGAAGGAUAUGAAGGCAAAUGAGUGGUCAAGAUAGAAAUCAUCACCUCAUGUGAUUCAAAGGGAAAUAUCUUAUUAGUUUUUGGUUGACAUUAGCUUAAUCAAAUCCUUGGCGAAGGUGAUUAGGAGAUUAUGAAAUGAGUUUCAUAAGUCUCCAUAAAGCUAAUGAUCUACUUGUAGGAACAAAUAUGGAGGUCAAUAAGAGUAGGCACUACACCGAACUCUUAUCAUCUCCGAGAUAUACGAUGAGAAAAUAAAUUACACUGAAAAAGUGUACAUUAAAAGGAUGUCAAAGAAUCUUUCAACUCUUUUACAAUUAGGUGGCCAUGAUGCAUUGCUAAAUGCAAAUCAUAGUUUAUGGAAUUGAAUUAGCUAAUUUAAAAUUGAAUAUGAUUCAUUUAAAUUAAUUAAUUACUAAUAUUGUAAUUCAAUUCCAUUGCCAACCUAUUAGGAACCUAAUGGGUCACACACAAAGGUUGCAAUUUGGAUCAAAUUAAAAGUGUGAUGAUUUAAGUUAAACUUAAAUCAAAUUCUAUGUUUUAACUACUAAGGACCUAAUUAAAAGAGUUAAAUUAGGCAUUGGUUAAAUAUUAUAAUUGUUAUAAUAUUAAGAACUUAUUUUGUAAAUUUUAAUAAGUUAAACCUAGAUAUAAAUAUCACAUUAUACCAUUCUUUUCAAAAGGCAACAAAAGAAAAAAAACAACUAAUAAUUUUUUUAAGUGUCGCCAUUUUUGAGAAGGUUUUUUACAAAAGCUUCUCUAUUGAUUCUUUGCUGGAAAUCAAAGAAGAAAAAAGGACAAACCAUUGUCCACUUGCUAGCACAAGCACAUGGCAUAAAGCUCUCUCUUUGUGAAAGAUCAAUUGCAAUCGUGUGUGCAACAUUAGAGGCCAAAUGUUUCAGUGGCUGGGAUUCUUUCACACAAGAAGGUGUUCACACUUUUCAACACCAAAAGAAAUCCAUUUGAUUAUGAUACCAUUUAGAAAGGUAAAACCUUUUUUUAAUUUUCUAUGGUGUUUAACUUUGCAUUAAACAACCAAGGUGAUCCAAAGGUAGGAAGCAUGGUUUUUAUUUUAUUUUAAUUUUUUUUUGGUUAUUUUGUUGUGUUGAUGCUCUAAUCAUGCCGUUCCUAGUACAUCUAUCAAUAGAUUUGAAACAGGAUGCUUUCUAUUGCAUUCUGCCUACUAUCUAUGGAUAGUUGUUUUAUAUGUAUCGACAAAUAACCUUUGAAACUCCGUUUUUUUAGCAAAUUUGUGUAUUUUUUCCAUUCUUUAGGUCCCUUGACCUCCUAGGACUAUCUUUACUGCUCAUUUCAUUUCUCUAAACACAUUCUCAUGCCAACAUAGAGUAUAACUCAAUAACAUUAUUCAAGAUGGACUUAACAUGCAAUGUAUCAUAAAGAUAACAAUCAUAAUCAUUCCAUUAACAUUCUACUCACACAUUGUGAUGGUACAACCCCCAUCAACCUUGGGCUGACAAUGUAUAGCCUCAUUGCACCUUGGGUGUUUAUGAUGCAUCAUAGAAGUGAAGUUGUCACUACACCCCGUGUGAGUGGAAUCAAUCAUACUUGUUAAGCUUUUAUACUCAUAGCAUUUAGUAUGUGGAAUGCCCAUCACAUACAUGCUUACUCAUCGUAUAAGAUAUAUGGAAUUUCACAUCAUAUACACAUCUCAUGGCAUUUCUUCAUGCCUACUCUUUCAUCAUAACAUAUGUAAAACAUGCAUUACAUACAUAAUCUCAUAGCAUUCAUCAUGCUUCCUCAAACAUCUCAUGUAGUAUACGGAAAACACAUCAUAUGCAAAAACAUAAUAUCUUAGAUGAAAAUCAUUAUACAAGUCAUCACACAUUUCAUGCCUCGAUAUAUCUAGCAUACACCUCAUACAUUCAUGCAUUAAUCAUAAAUCAUAUCAUAUACCCACACUAGUCCGAAGAUCAAAGUAAUCAAAUGGACUCAAACAUAAGGUGCUUAUCCCCCCUUGUUGAAAACUAAUACAUAAUAUCAUAUUUAUAUACAUUGAAGGUUGAAAACGAAUUUUCAAAUAUUUUCUCAUCCACAAAUAAAUUUUCAGUUCAUAAAUAUUUGCAAAAAAUUGUAUUCACCAAUAAUCCUCAAAUCAUGUUUCAACUUUACAUAUCAAAAUAUUUUUGAAAGUGGUGUAUCGACUCACCUAAUAAGAGGCUCAAUUACAACUCUAAUUCUAUGAAAUCUGAUGUGUUUUCAAGCAUUCCUAUCAUACAAUAUUCAUAACAAUAAAUUUUUGAACUAAUAAUCUUGGAAUAAUUAAGCUAGCAUCUUUCGAAAUCUAUUCCUUUUUUACUAGAGCUACGUUCUCUCUCUAAACUAAGCUAUAAAUGCAUAAAUUCUCUAAACUUACCUUAGAUGAGCUUCGAUGUUGAAAGAAAUUACAAAAACCUUAGAUUUAAUCCUCAAUAGAAAUUUCUAGGCAAAAAUAAUAAAUUUCUAGCAUUAAAAAUGUCAAUUUUAGCUUUAAACUUCAAAACUAAGAUUAAAAUCAUCAAAAGCAAUGAUUUUUCAUUAAAAAUGGGUUAAAAGGGUUUUAGAGAGGUUUUACCUUUCAAAAAAUGACUAAAGAUUGAUAAACCCUCGAUUAUUGUGUCAUAUUUAUAGUUUGGGAAGUGAAAAUACGCUUUUUUCCCUUAUUUUUGUGAAAACGGCAUCAUCUAUUGAUAAAUCAAGGCUAUCUAUCGAUAGAUGAGCUUCAGAACCCUUUUUGGAAGCUUCCUAAUUGCCAUCUAUCAAUAGAUGGGAGCCAUCUAUAUAGAUCCGGAUAUCUAUGGAUAGAUUUGCUCAUCUAUCCAUAGAUGUUAUUUAGAGCAGCUUUGAUAAACCAUUUCUAGAUUGUAUCAUCGAUAGAUGAAGAACAUCUAUCAAUAGAUUGGUCCAGAAAGCAAAAAAAAACCUUAGAAAUAUGUCCAAUUGAACUCUUUUUAACACCAAACUUUGUAAAUUAUCUUAAUGCAUCAAAACAUGAAUUUUUCUAAGAUCAAAACUUACUUUUGAACAUUCCAAACACAAAAAUCAUCUCAAAACAUUACACCAUGAAAUUUUUCAUUCACAAAACUAAAUUUCAAGUUUUCAAAACACAAUUUAACUUGCUCAUCUAAGGAUUUCCAACUGAGCAAACCCCACAUUAAGGUGGGGUUUCACAAAUCAACACAAUAGUUUUUAUAAAGGUUUGACCUUUUUGCCUACGUUUUCUCCCUUAGAUUCAUUAAGGAGUUUAAAAUCUACUAUUGAAAUAAGAUUCAAUACAAUACCUUUUAUGGAUCAAGCAUAACCUUGCAGUACAAUGCCUUUGAUGGAUCAAGCACAACCAUUCUACCUUUUAAUUUGGCUAAGGCAUAAGCACUCAAACUACCUUUUUAACUUGGUUAAGGUAUAACCACUCAAGAUGUUAUAAUAAAUUAUGAGAGUAAAAGCUAAAAUGCCUCUUAAAAGCCAAAAAGCUAGAUGGGUACAAUGUUUGGUCAUGUCACGAUCUGGAACUCCCAUCGAACCCGUGACAAUCGCCGCGAUGUCCCGAUAGACAUUCAUUACCCGAAAUGCCAAUCGAAACCUCGCAAGGCUUAACAUCAGUUUUCUUGCUUCCCCUAUGAGUAUUAGUUACUAAAAUCAUGUUUUAAAGUGAUAUGAAGCAAUUUCAAUUCAAAAAUAGUCAAAGAGAAGUUUCAACUACAUAGGGGUAUUUUGGUCAUUUUUCCCAAAAAUUUUGAAACCAGCUAAAAUGUAGUAUAUGAGAGAAAUUUACACAUUUCAUAACUGAAAAUAAGUUUAGAUAUCUAAAACAUUCAUUUAAAGUGAAAUUAUAGCUAAAGGAAUAAAAUAAAAAUAAUGAAUAAAAUAUUCUAAUUUUUCAUAAAAUAAUUUUUAUAGAACGCUACGUAAAUAAUUUUUAUAGCGUAAAAGCAAAAUAAAUUCUUACAUACAGUAGCACACGCAGCCAGGUAUUCAAAACAUUUAACAAUGACAUGUGGGCCCCUGAAUGACUAAAAGUAAUGAAGGCUGUGAACCUACAGUUUUUGAGGAUGCAAGUCCAAUUGUAGCCCUCAACGAAAUGAGCUAUCUACCAACUAUCCUGAGCCUAAAAUGAGUGGAAAAGAGGAUGGUGAGAUUAUAUAAUCCCAAUGAGUAAACAAAUAUCAUCUAAAAUAACUAAAGCUGAGUAAAUGGAGACAGAUAAAAUAGAUUAGCAUAAAAAUGAUUCACAGCAUUUCGAAUUCAUUUUAAUAAGAUAAAAUAGAUUCAUUUCACCUAAAUAAACAACGAGGCUUAUGAUUUCUUGAAAAGCUUGACUCGUGCCAAAAUCAUUCUCAUACUCAGUUGUCAGGGAUACCUUGGCCUAGGGCUAUCCCAACCAAGUCCGCCAAGGCUAUUAAAAAGUCAUGUACGCAUAAAUCAUGUUUUUUAUUUUGAAAACAUAGUCGUUCCUUGGCGUUGGCUGAGUUCACCCUCACGUGGUGGUUCAGCGUGAAGUGAACUCUAAAGUUUUACCUCAGGAAUUACCCUACGCGCCUCUUCAACUGAGGUAAGAAUAUACCCGAAUUUCGUGCCCCUCAAAAAGGCUAGUCCACAGAACCCGCCACUUCAGUGACCAAUCUAUAACCCACCAAUUCAAUAAAAUUCAGCAGAAUGACAUGGCAAUUUUAUCAUUAUCCAGCCUAUCAAGGCAAACAACAGUUUAUGCAUUUUCAACACAAACACCCAUCCAGCCAUUCAUGCCCACAUUAUCAUAAGCCAUUCAAUUCAAAACAUAAUUUACAAUACAGCAAGUAGUCUCCAAUUACUCCAUUUUCAAGUCAUCAUUAAAUUUCAAAACAAUUUAUAAAAUCAUUUCAUUUAAACACAUUUUUCAUAAAAUUACAAAAUCGGAUAAAAACAUAAUUUAGAUAAUUAAGACGAUAAUAAAGUUACUCACUGUAAUGGGAAUUGAAUUCGGGAUACUCUGAUUCUUGAUCCUCGGAUUCUACCUCUUUACUCUUGCUAGAAUGCUCACCACCUAGACAUAAUGCACAAUAAGCAAUUUGCUACAUUUGUGCUAAACCGUUGUAAAACCAAUUCAGGCUCUAUACUAAUGCAUGAUAUGGGAUGUGAAAUACUCAGAUAACUAUCUAAAUACGGUGUUCAAUAUAAAUUCAAUUAUGUACCUAAAUAAAAUGGUAUUAGCCUAAUUCGAUCUAUCACCCAAUUAAUUGGCCAAUACGUCCAAUUCAACUCCAAACAAUUCCAUUUCUCUCCCAAUACUCCAAAUCAUUAAACACAAUUUAAAUAACUUGAAAUGUGGCAAAAUCAUCCUCACAUUUGUUCUUAAAAAAUUCGGCCAUGGUGAGUGCACUAACAAAUAUAAUUUUUUUAUGCUUGAUUCUCACACCAUAAAUCAUUCAUUCCUAAUCAAAUCACUUGAAAUUCGAUCAAAUUCAUCAUCAAUAUUCUACAUGGAAUAUUCGGCCAAUGAAGGUGAUGUAAGAACAUGAAUUUUUCUUACUUGCUUUUCAUACUACACAUCACCAAACAACUAAAAACACUAGAAUAACAUGUUUGCUAACUAAAUUCAUCAUCAAAUUCUCUCUCCUAAGGUUUGAUCAGCACACUAUCCUUCAUGAUAUCUUGUGAUUCAACCAUGAAAAAUGCAAAAUAAUGCAUAGAAAAGAUAGAUCACAAGCUAAAAUUAAGAAAUUUCACCUUUGAUGGCUUGAUUCCUUGAAAUUUGGUAAAUUUCUCUUGAAUUUCUUAGUUAGGGUUUUGUUCUUCUUCUUUUCUUCCCUUUUCUUCCUUUGGC
RNAcentral lists this long non-coding RNA (6546 nucleotides) under Theobroma cacao (cacao). RNAcentral's name for it is "long non-coding RNA (TCAC_LNC004853)". The record is from RNAcentral. Lineage: Eukaryota; Viridiplantae; Streptophyta; Magnoliopsida; Malvales; Malvaceae.